This 253-nucleotide ribosomal RNA is filed under the name uncultured bacterium. RNAcentral's name for it is "partial 16S ribosomal RNA". It matches the Rfam family "Bacterial small subunit ribosomal RNA", at positions 524 to 776 of the family's 1533-position model. The record is from RNAcentral.
UACAGAGGGUGCGAGCGUUGUCCGGAAUCACUGGGCGUAAAGGGCGCGUAGGCGGCAUACUAAGGGUGCGGUGAAAGCCCGGGGCUCAACCCCGGGUCUGCCGUGCCAACUGGUGUGCUUGAGCACUGUAGAGGCAGGUAGAAUUCCGGGAGUAGCGGUGGAAUGCGUAGAGAUCCGGAAGAAUACCGGUGGCGAAGGCGGCCUGCUGGGCAGUGGCUGACGCUGAGGCGCGACAGCGUGGGGAGCAAACAGG